This is a non-coding RNA of Callorhinus ursinus (northern fur seal), 672 nucleotides long. The record is from the annotation of a RefSeq genome assembly. Lineage: Eukaryota; Metazoa; Chordata; Mammalia; Carnivora; Otariidae.
AUCUUUUCUGUGGUCUUCUCCCUCUGGCCCCUCAGCUAGGAAAAUGUGCCAUGCCCCGUGUGUGGACACGGCCCCAGUUUUUUCUUGCUUUAGAAUAAUCACAGUCCUGCGCCACGUGUUUUCCAAUGACUGAAUACGGUUGUCUCCUAUAUUCUACUUUUUUGGUUGCUUUUACUUGUAUAGAGCAACACAGCGAAGACUAUUGGGUUCUGUGAAGUGAUCACGUCACAGAGCAGCUGGCUAUGGGGGGUGGAAAAUACCUCAGAGAAACCUGGCCGCCUCUGUUCUUUCACUAAUGCUGUCAUGUGCCCAGUAAUCAUCUGCUCCUUGAUCCUCUGGCUCCUGAGUGCAGGCACCCUUGAUGCAGAAGUCACCCAGACUCCGGGACACCUAGUCAAAGGGAAAGGACAGAAAGCAGAAAUGCAUUGUGUCCCGAUAAAGGGACACAGGUAUGUUUCCUGGUAUCAGCAGAUCCCAGCAAAAGAGUUCAAGUUCUUGACUUCUUUCCAGGAUGGCAACAUCUUUGAUAAAACAGGAAUGCCCAAGAAGAGAUUUUUAGCUGUGUGUCCCCAAACCUCACCCUGUAGCCUAGAGAUCAAGCCUACAGAGCUGCAGGAUUCAGCUGUGUAUUUCUGUGCCAGCAGUGAAUCCACAGUGUUAAAUAUUAGCUAA